RNAcentral lists this ribosomal RNA (115 nucleotides) under Acanthosepion pharaonis. The record is from RNAcentral. Lineage: Eukaryota; Metazoa; Mollusca; Cephalopoda; Sepiida; Sepiidae.
UUACGGUCAAAACACGCUGAAAACACCGGUUCUCGUUCGAUCACCGAAGUUAAGCAUCGUAGAGCCAGGUCAGUACUUAGAUGGGGGACAGCUUGGAAACACCUGGUACUGUAAG